This 442-nucleotide ribosomal RNA is filed under the name uncultured bacterium. RNAcentral's name for it is "partial 16S ribosomal RNA". It matches the Rfam family "Bacterial small subunit ribosomal RNA", at positions 338 to 795 of the family's 1533-position model. The record is from RNAcentral.
CCUACGGGUGGCUGCAGUGGGGAAUAUUGGGCAAUGGAGGCAACUCUGACCCAGCAACGCCGCGUGAAUGAUGAAGGUCUUCGGAUUGUAAAGUUCUUUUCUAAGGGAAGAAGAAAGUGACGGUACCUUUGGAAUAAGCCUCGGCUAACUACGUGCCAGCAGCCGCGGUAAUACGGAGGAUGCGCGCGUUAUCCGGAUUUAUUGGGUUAAAAGGGUGCGUAGGCGGAAGGUUAAGUGAGCGGUAAAAUGUCGGUGCUCAACACCGGCCUGCCGUUGAAACUGGUCUUCUUGAGUGAGCGAGAAGUAUGCGGAAUGCGUGGUGUAGCGGUGAAAUGCAUAGAUAUCACGCAGAACUCCGAUUGCGAAGGCAGCAUACCGGCGCUCAACUGACGCUGAGGCACGAAAGCGUGGGGAUCGAACAGGAUUAGAUACCCGUGUAGUC